This 709-nucleotide ribosomal RNA is filed under the name uncultured bacterium. Its description in RNAcentral is "bacterial SSU rRNA". It matches the Rfam family "Bacterial small subunit ribosomal RNA", at positions 123 to 813 of the family's 1533-position model. The record is from RNAcentral.
GACCUACCUUCGAGUGGGGGAUAACGUCCCGAAAGGGACGCUAAUACCGCAUAACAUCCUGCCUUUGAACAGGCGGAGAUCAAAGCCGGGGAUCGUAAGACCUGGCGCUUGAUGAGGGGCCCGCGUCUGAUUAGCUAGUUGGUGAGGUAAUGGCUCACCAAGGCGACAAUCAGUAUCCGGCCUGAGAGGGCGGACGGACACACUGGGACUGAGACACGGCCCAAACUCCUACGGGAGGCAGCAGUGGGGAAUUGUUCGCAAGGGGCGCAAGCCUGACGACGCACCGCCGCGGGGAGGAUGAAGGUCUUCGGAUUGUAAACUCCUGUUGCUCGGGACAAAAAGCUUCAACUUAAUACUUCAAAGUCUGACGGUCCCGGGUGAGGAACCCCCGGCUAACUCUGUGCCAGCAGCCGCGGUAAUACAGAGGGGGCAAGCGUUGUUCGAAAUUACUGGGCGUAAAGGGCGCGUAGGCGGCCUGUUAAGUCGAACGUGAAAUCCCCGAGCUCAACUCGGGAACUGCGUCCGAUACUGGUAGGCUUGAAUCCGGGAGAGGGAUGUGGAAUUCCAGGUGUAGCGGUGAAAUGCGUAAAUAUCUGGAGGAACACCAGUGGCAAAGGCGGCAUCCUGAACCGGUAUUGACGCUGAGGCGCGAAAGCCAGGGGAGCAAACGGGAUUAGAUACCCCGGUAGUCCUGGCCCUAAACGAUGAA